GCCUGGCCGCCCAUCGUCUGGGACGUGAGGAGCCCCUCUGCCUGGCUGCCCAGUCUGGAAAGUGAGGAGCGUCUCUGACCGGCCGCCAUCCCAUCUAGGAAGUGAGGAGCGCCUCUUCCCGGCAGCCAUCCCAUCUGGGAAGUGAGGAGCGUCUCUGCCCGGCCGCCCAUCGUCUGAGAUGUGGGGAGCGCCUCUGCCCCGCCGCCCCGUCUGGGAGGUGAGGAGCGUCUCUGCCCGGCCGCCCCGUCUGAGAAGUGAGGAGACCCUCCGCCCAGCAUCCGCCCCAUCUGAGAAGUGAGGAGCCCCUCCGCCCGGCAGCCGCCCCGUCUGAGAAGUGAGGAGUCCCUCUGCCCGGCAGCCACCCAGUCUGGGAAGUGAGGAGCGUCUCCGCCCGGCAGCCGCCCCGGCCGGGAGGGAGGUGGGGGGGUCAGCCCCCCGCCCGGCCAGCCGCCCCGUCCGGGAGGGAGGUGGGGGGGUCAGCCCCCCGUCCGGGAGGGAGGUGGGGGCGGUCAGCCCCCCGCCCGGCCAGCCGCCCCAUCCGGGAGGGAGGUGGGGGGGUCAGCCCCCCGCCCGGCCAGCCGCCCCGUCCGGGAGGGAGGUGGGGGGUCAGCCCCCCUCCCGGCCAGCCGCCCCGUCCGGGAGGUGAGGGGCGCCUCUGCCCAGCCGCCCCUACUGGGAAGUGAGGAGCCCCUCUGCCUGGCCAGCCACCCCGUCCAGGAGGGAGGUGGGGGAGUCAGCCCCCCACCCGGCCAGCCGCCCCGUCCGGGAGGGAGGUGGGGGGGUCAGCCCCCCGCCCGGCCAGCCGCCCCGUCCGGGAGGGAGGUGGGGGGGUCAGCCCCCCGCCCGGCCAGACGCCCCGUCCGGGAGGUGAGGGGCGCCUCUGCCCGGCCGCCCCUACUAGGAAGUGAGGAGCCCCUCUCCCAGCCACCACCUCGUCUGGGAGGUGUACCCAACAGCUCAUUGAGAACGGGCCGGGAUGACAAUGGCGGUUUUGUGGAAUAGAAAGGGGGGAAAGGUGGGGAAAAGAUUGAGAAAUCGGAUGGUUGCCGGGUCUGUGUAGAAAGAAGUAGACAUGGGAGACUUUUCAUUUUGUUCUGUACUAAGAUAAAUUCUUCUGCCUUGGGAUCCUGUUGAUCGGUGACCUUACCCCCAACCCUGUGCUCUCUGAAACAUGUGCUGUGUCCACUCAGGGUUAAAUGGAUUAAGGGCGGUGCAAGAUGUGCUUUGUUAAACAGAUGCUUGAAGGCAGCAUGCUCGUUAAGAGUCAUCACCACUCCUUAAUCUCAAGUACCCAGGGACACAAACACUGCGGAAGGCCGCAGGGUCCUCUGCCUAGGAAAACCAGAGACCUUUGUUCACUUGUUUAUCUGCCAACCUUCCCUCCACUAUUGUCCUAUGACCCUGCCAAAUCCCCCUCUGCGAGAAACACCCAAGAAUGAUCAAUAAAAAAAAA
Molecule: long non-coding RNA, 1453 nt
Filed under: Homo sapiens (human)
Lineage: Eukaryota; Metazoa; Chordata; Mammalia; Primates; Hominidae
Description: HSALNT0397948
Source: RNAcentral